Molecule: ribosomal RNA, 346 nt
Filed under: uncultured bacterium
Lineage: Bacteria
Description: partial 16S ribosomal RNA
Rfam family: Bacterial small subunit ribosomal RNA
Source: RNAcentral
GGAGGGUGCAAGCGUUAAUCGGAAUUACUGGGCGUAAAGCGCACGCAGGCGGUUUGUUAAGUCAGAUGUGAAAUCCCCGAGCUUAACUUGGGAACUGCAUUUGAAACUGGCAAGCUAGAGNNNNNNNNNGGGGGGUAGAAUUCCAGGUGUAGCGGUGAAAUGCGUAGAGAUCUGGAGGAAUACCGGUGGCGAAGGCGGCCCCCUGGACAAAGACUGACGGUCAGGUGCGAAAGCGUGGGGAGCAAACAGGAUUAGAUACCCUGGUAGUCCACGCUGUAAACGAUGUCGAUUUGGAGGUUGUGGGCUUGACCCGUGGCUUCCGGASUAACGCGUUAAAUCGACCGCC